ACCUACGGGGCGCAGCAGUAGGGAAUCUUCCACAAUGGACGAAAGUCUGAUGGAGCAACGCCGCGUGAGUGAAGAAGGGUUUCGGCUCGUAAAGCUCUGUUGGUAGUGAAGAAAGAUAGAGGUAGUAACUGGCCUUUAUUUGACGGUAAUUACUUAGAAAGUCACGGCUAACUACGUGCCAGCAGCCGCGGUAAUACGUAGGUGGCAAGCGUUUUCCGGAUUUAUUGGGCGGAAAGCGAGGGCCGGCGGUUCAAAAA
RNAcentral lists this ribosomal RNA (257 nucleotides) under uncultured bacterium. RNAcentral describes it as "partial 16S ribosomal RNA". It matches the Rfam family "Bacterial small subunit ribosomal RNA", at positions 337 to 586 of the family's 1533-position model. The record is from RNAcentral.